Molecule: long non-coding RNA, 410 nt
Organism: Spea bombifrons (plains spadefoot toad)
Lineage: Eukaryota; Metazoa; Chordata; Amphibia; Anura; Pelobatidae
Exons: 3
Source: RefSeq, a predicted model, not a curated record
AUCAUAUUACUGACAGGUAAAGGCUUUAUCUCCAGGUGAUAUAAGGGGACAGUGACAGGUAAAGCCUUCACCACCAGGUGAUAAAAGAGGACAGUGACAGGUAAGGGGUUUAUCGCCAGGUGAUAUAAAGGGACAGUGACAGGUAAAGGCUUUAUCGCCAGGUGAUAUAAGGGGACAGUGACAGGUAAAGGCUUUAUCUCCAGGUGAUAUAAGGGGACAGUACAUGUAAAGGCUUUAUCUCCAGGUGAUAUAAGGGGACAGUGACAGGUAAAGGCUUUAUCGCUAGGUGAUAUAAGGGGACAGUGACAGGUAAAGGCUUUAUCGCCAGGUGAUAUAAGGGGACAGUACAGGUAAAGGCUUUAUCGCCAGGUGAUAUAAGGGGACAGUGACAGGUAAAGGCUUUAUCUCCA